UACGUAGGGUGCAAGCGUUGUCCGGAAUUAUUGGGCGUAAAGAGCUCGUAGGCGGUUUGUUGCGUCGGCUGUGAAAUCCCGAGGCUCAACCUCGGGUCUGCAGUCGAUACGAGCAAACUAGAGUGUUGCAGGGGAGACUGGAAUUCCUGGUGUAGCGGUGAAAUGCGCAGAUAUCAGGAAGAACACCUAUGGCGAAGGCAGCUCUCUGGGACGGUACUGACGCUGAGACGCGAAAGCGUGGGGAGCGAACAGG
RNAcentral lists this ribosomal RNA (253 nucleotides) under uncultured bacterium. Its description in RNAcentral is "partial 16S ribosomal RNA". It matches the Rfam family "Bacterial small subunit ribosomal RNA", at positions 524 to 776 of the family's 1533-position model. The record is from RNAcentral.